AGCAGAGAUGCUUUGGUGCCUUCGGGAACUCUGAGACAGGUGCUGCAUGGCUGUCGUCAGCUCGUGUUGUGAAAUGUUGGGUUAAGUCCCGCAACGAGCGCAACCCUUAUCCUUUGUUGCCAGCGGUUAGGCCGGGAACUCAAAGGAGACUGCCAGUGAUAAACUGGAGGAAGGUGGGGAUGACGUCAAGUCAUCAUGGCCCUUACGAGUAGGGCUACACACGUGCUACAAUGGCGCAUACAAAGAGAAGCGACCUCGCGAGAGCAAGCGGACCUCAUAAAGUGCGUCGUAGUCCGGAUUGGAGUCUGCAACUCGACUCCAUGAAGUCGGAAUCGCUAGUAAUCGUGGAUCAGAAUGCCACGGUGAAUACGUUCCCGGGCCUUGUACACACCGCCCGUCACACCAUGGGAGUGGGUUGCAAAAGAAGUAGGUAGCUUAACCUUCGGGAGGGCGCU
RNAcentral lists this ribosomal RNA (455 nucleotides) under uncultured Enterobacter sp. Its description in RNAcentral is "bacterial SSU rRNA". It matches the Rfam family "Bacterial small subunit ribosomal RNA", at positions 999 to 1454 of the family's 1533-position model. The record is from RNAcentral. Lineage: Bacteria; Pseudomonadati; Pseudomonadota; Gammaproteobacteria; Enterobacterales; Enterobacteriaceae.